RNAcentral lists this ribosomal RNA (428 nucleotides) under uncultured bacterium. Its description in RNAcentral is "bacterial SSU rRNA". It matches the Rfam family "Bacterial small subunit ribosomal RNA", at positions 355 to 775 of the family's 1533-position model. The record is from RNAcentral.
UGGGGAAUUUUGGACAAUGGGGGCAACCCUGAUCCAGCCAUGCCGCGUGCGGGAAGAAGGCCUUCGGGUUGUAAACCGCUUUUAGCUGGGAAGAAAAGAUCACGGAUAACACCCGUGGUUCUUGACGGUACCGGCGGAAUAAGCACCGGCUAACUACGUGCCAGCAGCCGCGGUAAUACGUAGGGUGCGAGCGUUAAUCGGAAUUACUGGGCGUAAAGCGUGCGUAGGCGGUUCGUUGUGUCCGUCGUGAAAGCCCCGGGCUUAACCUGGGAACUGCGAUGGAAACUAGCGAGCUGGAGUGUGGCAGAGGAGGGUGGAAUUCCGCGUGUAGCAGUGAAAUGCGUAGAGAUGCGGAGGAACACCGAUGGCGAAGGCAGCCCUCUGGGCUAACACUGACGCUCAGGCACGAAAGCGUGGGGAGCAAACAG